This is a long non-coding RNA of Neofelis nebulosa (Clouded leopard), 1158 nucleotides long. RefSeq lists it as uncharacterized. Lineage: Eukaryota; Metazoa; Chordata; Mammalia; Carnivora; Felidae. The transcript has 2 exons. The record is from RefSeq and is a predicted model, not a curated record.
UUUUUUUGCCAUGAUCUGCCAUGAUCUGCAACCUUCCACAUGCUCCCCUCAGGGAUCUUCACUUUCCUUUGCAGUGCAGACCCCUCAAACCAGGCAGAGCUGAGGAUGCCAGCCCACAGGAGUGAGCAGCUGUGCCCGGCAGUUGAAGCAGGACAGCACCUGCAGUGCUCUUCCUGGCUGAGACCAGAGACAGAGGCCGCUGGCCAGUCUGGCACACAUGAGGUGGAGGAAACAGGAAGAAGGGCUGUGACGUUUAAUCAAUCCCUGAAGCAGUCUUUCCUAGUCAAAAUCAAGUCGAUAUAUGAUUUAGAAAAGUAUAUGCUACCUGCAGUGUGGUAUCCUGAACUGGAACAGAAAGAAAGACAUGAGUGGAAACCGGCAAAAUUUGAUGAUAGCUGGCUUUUUGUUAGUGGUAGUGUAUCAGUGUUAGUUUCUUAGUUUGGACAAACGGCCGCGGUUAUAGAAGAUGUUAAUGUUAGGGGACACUGGGUGAAGGCUAUGUGGGAACUCUGCGUACUGUCUUUGCAACUUUUCUGUAAAUCUAAAAUUGUUCGAAAAUAAAAAACUUAUUUUAGAGGGCCACAGCUCAGCCCUAGACCUGCCUCAUACCCACACAGACGCUUUCAUACACAGAGGAUGGAGGUUGGGGAAACUGAGGCAGGAGACUGGCCACACCGUACUCGGACUCAUAACAGUUUCCCUUGGCCCCUGGACAUUCCCGUCUUGUCAAGGCCACUUUUUUUUUUUUGAGUCUUCCCAUGAAUUAAAAAAAAAGAAAUGGAAAAUUGGUGUUAAAAAGUUAAUUAUAAAAGCAUAUUUUUCUCUAGAAUAAUUGGGGUUGCUUGCCUCUAUAUAUUUACUGGGCAAUAUAUUAAGGACCUGAUUCAUGGAAAAAAAAUGUCAACGUAAAAUACAGCUUUACCAUGCAGGAAAGAAUUGUUACUGCUACAACUCAUCCAUAUCCCUAAUGAAAAUAUCUGAUCAUUUAUUAGUGCUCUUUCUUAUGCUAUUUUUCCCACCUUCUGUUCCGUGCUGAUGUAUAAAUUACUUACUCGUUCACUCGCUCCCUCAUUCAAUGAACAUUUAUAAAACCAGGUAUGGAGCUUAACCCUGAGGAAAAGAAAAGGAGCAGAAUAAAGCGUGGUUUCUGCCUGUAAA